GAACACUUGUCGUGACUAAAUUAUUUUUCCUCGCGCGAUGCCAAGUCCGUCGAAAGUCGAAUUGUUUAUUUCGUCGUGGGACAUUCUAUAAUACAUUUGCGAUGAAUCAGGAGCUAAGGAACUUGUAAUAUUUUAUUUUUCAUUGCUGUGAACACUUGUCCGGACUAAAUUAUUUUUCCUCGCGCGAUGCCAAGUCCGUCGAAAGUCGAAUUGUUUAUUUCGUCGUGGCACAUUCUAUAAUACAUUUGCGAUGAAUCAGAAGCUAAGGAACUUGUAUCUGAAAUCCUCCUAUGGUUUCCGAGAUAAUUAUUAUCAGGCUGUGAACACUUGUCGUGACUAAAUUAUUUUUCCUCGCGCGAUGCCAAGUCCAUCGAAAGUCGAAUUGUUUACUCCGUCGUAACAGCAACGAAAUGCUCCAGAAUAUUCUUUCGGAUGACGGUGAAGAGCCCUAAGAAUAUGACGACCACGAAGGGUCAGAUAAAGCGAAGAAGGAAUUCCAAGUUUUUUGACAGGGCCCAAAUGCCUGUAGAAGAUUCAGAAAUAAAUGAAGCCUUAAAAUCAGACACCUUCGUCCGAACUCCUUCCGUCCUGUGUUCCGAUCCUAGAACCGUCGCCCUGCAAGUUUUGUGUGCAGGGUGUCGCUUUGAAGUUGGCCAGCCAGGGGAGCUCUGAACCCAUUCAAUUAGAUCCGUCGAGCAGCUAAUGCCACCUCCUAGAUCAUCUAGGGUACUCAAGGCCCUACGUUUACCGACCCAGAACAAGUUGAACCUCGCAAAGUUGAUGCUGUGGAGCCGGAGUUCGAGAAAACGAGUGCACGGUGAAGUGUUUCUGGAAACUUUCUGGAGACUUUGGCUGUAGACCCAGUUGAAGAAAUGCAAUGAACGAUCCUAGACCAUCAGAUACUCUGAUUCCUGAUUUUCCUGAACAUUGGGGCUCAUCAGCACCUUUUCGAUCUCGCUUUCAAAGCCAACGGCUUCUGGUUCUGCGAAUGUUGGGCUUGGAAUUCAUCCCCCAAAGCCCCAAGAUGAGUCAGAAGCUCAGGAGUGGCUACAAUAUUGUAGUAAGACCAUCCAGAAUCAGUUGCCGGGAGCAGCAGUUGCUGGAUGACGGUCUUACUACACUUUUGAAGCCACUCCUGAAUCUUACUCAUCUUGGGGCCUUGGAGGGACGGAUCCCAAGCCAACAUCCGCAAAACCAAGAAUCCUUGGCCUUGAAAGUGAGUUGCCCAAGGAGCAGAUGAAGCCACAAUGUUUAGGAAGGUCAGGAAUCAGAGUGUCUGCUGGUGUAGGAUCUUUCAGUUGCAUUUCUUUAACUGGGUCUACAGCAGAUGUCUCUGGACAGUUUCCAGGACCAUUUCAUUGUGCACUCGUUUCUCGGGCUUCGUCUCCACAUCAUCAACUGUGCGAGGUUUUACUUGUUAUGGGUGGGUACCGUCGGGCUUUAAGUACCCUAUAUAAACUUGGUGGUCGCAUAAGCUCCUCGUUGGAUCCAAUUGGGUGGGUUUUGAAUUCCUCUGGUUGCCAAAUUCAAAUCCACACCCUGGACACUAAGCUUGUCGCACGAAGGAGUGCUCAGAGUGCCUCGGAGAAUUAGUGGCAGAAAAGCUCCACAGUUCGACUCGAAGACUUCGAGGAUAUCGAUGACCAAGUCAUGACGGUACACAAGGAUCCGCAAGCCAAAAGACUCGGCCAAAAGAACGCCAUACUCAAGUCGGCAGAGCAAUAACCAGUUUGUCAGGAGCAGUCCUUCCAGAAGAUCUGGAUCCUCAGACGUCCUACCAAACCUAAGAGCUGUAAGGAGAAUAAGCAGUGUCGUCUUCAAAAGCGACAUCGGUGUGAUCGAAAUGGGCCACUGACCGGAAGAAGUGAGAAAAUGAUGGCCCAAACCCUGGCCAAGACAGUGGGGAAGCUGAAUUUCAAGGUCGAUCCCUCCCACAAGCACCUGCACUUACGCCUCGUUUCCGCUGCCAACUUUCCCUGGAGCGUUAAUGUGCAGGAAUUUGGUAAGGCCCUCGUCCUUUUCUUCAAACUGUUCCUACGUAAGACGAACUUAAUCUAUCAUGUGAACAAGGAAAUGCCCGGUGUAUUAGCCAGACUUUGUUUCGGGAAAUUUCCAGUUUUUUGCCAUGACUGCGGCUGAGGAGAAUAAAAUGCUGAAGAAACUGUUCCUGCUAUCGGCCAGCUUUUGAAAAGGAUCCAAAGACACAAAUGUACAACUGUUCGAUGUUUAAUAAACAAUUCAUUUUCAUAA
Drosophila subpulchrella is the source of this 2250-nucleotide long non-coding RNA. RefSeq lists it as uncharacterized. The record is from RefSeq and is a predicted model, not a curated record. NCBI's taxonomy places the organism in Eukaryota, Metazoa, Arthropoda, Insecta, Diptera, Drosophilidae. The transcript is spliced from 6 exons.